RNAcentral lists this ribosomal RNA (43 nucleotides) under Rhododendron adamsii. RNAcentral's name for it is "partial 28S ribosomal RNA". Lineage: Eukaryota; Viridiplantae; Streptophyta; Magnoliopsida; Ericales; Ericaceae. The record is from RNAcentral.
AACUGCGACCCCAGGUCAGGCGGGACUACCCGCUGAGUUUAAG